RNAcentral lists this transfer RNA (74 nucleotides) under Methanosarcinales archaeon. Its description in RNAcentral is "tRNA-His". It matches the Rfam family "tRNA". From Rfam's summary of the family: Transfer RNA (tRNA) molecules are approximately 80 nucleotides in length. Their secondary structure includes four short double-helical elements and three loops (D, anti-codon, and T loops). Lineage: Archaea; Methanobacteriati; Methanobacteriota; Methanomicrobia; Methanosarcinales. The record is from RNAcentral.
GCCGGGGUAGGGUAGACUGGUCAUCCUAUGGGACUGUGGAUCCCACGACUCGGGUUCGAAUCCCGGCUCCGGCC